GUGGUUUUUCUUACAGUCAUUGUGUUUACCCAGUUCCUUCAUUGUAUCCUCUCAAGGGUUUCAACACUUUCCAGCAGCCACUCUCACAUCAAAUGAUUGCCAUCAGGAUUAAACAACUUACAGAAUUCAACACCCCACCACCCAGGUCUAUGAUGGUGAUCACCUGUACACGACUCUGCACUCCAGUGACUACGUCACUCAGUGGUAACAGAGAGCAAAGCUCUACCAUCUGGUCAUCCUCUCAGCUUGCCCAGUGGGGAUUUGUUGAAGUAAAUUUUUUUUUUUUUUUGUGACGGAGUCUCGCUCUGUCACCCAGGCUGGAGUGCAGUAGUGCGAUCUCAGCUCACUGCAACCUCUGCCUCCUGGGUUCAGCAAUUCUCCUGCCUCAGCUUCCCGAGUAGCUGGGAUUACAGGGCCAUCUUGCUGGCUUGCCACAGGUUAUGUGAUAAUGACUGGGCAUCAUUCAUGGGAAACUGCACUGCGUAAGCAGGCCUGGCUAGGCCCACAGUAGGCCCCGGGCACAUUUUCAGCUGCGAAGCGGAGGACUAGCAACCGGUGAGGUAGAAGGAGAACCAAGAGAUGGUGGGAGAAUGGGAACUGAGCUGAGAGAGCUUCCGGAAGGUUGCGGUGGCCUAGGGCGAUCCACGUCAUUGAGAAACGGCGUUAGGCUGAUUUCACGGGGCAGAUGACAUGGAAGUGCUGCUGAGGAAGACGCUGAGCUCCGAGGUGAAAAGGGAUGAGGACGCCUAAGAAGACACGAGCGCAAUACCUAAUACAAUUUCCUGAAAUUGUUUCAUGUCACACGUUAAAAUAAUAUGAAACACGUUAAAUAAUAAAAUGGUAUGAAGGUUUUGUCUG
RNAcentral lists this long non-coding RNA (858 nucleotides) under Homo sapiens (human). RNAcentral describes it as "LHRI_LNC764.1". Lineage: Eukaryota; Metazoa; Chordata; Mammalia; Primates; Hominidae. The record is from RNAcentral.